Molecule: ribosomal RNA, 849 nt
Filed under: uncultured bacterium
Lineage: Bacteria
Description: bacterial SSU rRNA
Rfam family: Bacterial small subunit ribosomal RNA
Source: RNAcentral
ACACAUGCAAGUCGAGGGGAAACGACAUCGAAAGCUUGCUUUUGAUGGGCGUCGACCGGCGCACGGGUGAGUAACGCGUAUCCAACCUGCCCACCACUUGGGGAUAACCUUGCGAAAGUAAGACUAAUACCCAAUGAUAUCUCUAGAAGACAUCUGAAAGAGAUUAAAGAUUUAUCGGUGAUGGAUGGGGAUGCGUCUGAUUAGCUUGUUGGCGGGGUAACGGCCCACCAAGGCGACGAUCAGUAGGGGUUCUGAGAGGAAGGUCCCCCACAUUGGAACUGAGACACGGUCCAAACUCCUACGGGAGGCAGCAGUGAGGAAUAUUGGUCAAUGGACGAGAGUCUGAACCAGCCAAGUAGCGUGCAGGAUGACGGCCCUAUGGGUUGUAAACUGCUUUUAUAAGGGAAUAAAGUGAGUCUCGUGAGACUUUUUGCAUGUACCUUAUGAAUAAGGACCGGCUAAUUCCGUGCCAGCAGCCGCGGUAAUACGGAAGGUCCGGGCGUUAUCCGGAUUUAUUGGGUUUAAAGGGAGCGUAGGCCGGAGAUUAAGCGUGUUGUGAAAUGUAGAUGCUCAACAUCUGCACUGCAGCGCGAACUGGUUUCCUUGAGUACGCACAAAGUGGGCGGAAUUCGUGGUGUAGCGGUGAAAUGCUUAGAUAUCACGAAGAACUCCGAUUGCGAAGGCAGCUCACUGGAGCGCAACUGACGCUGAAGCUCGAAAGUGCGGGUAUCGAACAGGAUUAGAUACCCUGGUAGUCCGCACGGUAAACGAUGGAUGCCCGCUGUUGGUCUGAAUAGGUCAGCGGCCAAGCGAAAGCAUUAAGCAUCCCACCUGGGGAGUACGCCGGCA